This 488-nucleotide ribosomal RNA is filed under the name uncultured bacterium. RNAcentral describes it as "bacterial SSU rRNA". It matches the Rfam family "Bacterial small subunit ribosomal RNA", at positions 32 to 518 of the family's 1533-position model. The record is from RNAcentral.
AACGCUAGCUACAGGCCUAACACAUGCAAGUCAGGGGCAGCAGAUCGAAAGCUUGCUUUGAUGCUGGCGACGGCGAAUGGGUGAGUCACGCGUGUCCAACCUGCCCUGUGCCCGGGGAUAGCCCUUGGAAAUGAGGAUUAACACCCGAUACGUGGCGCUUCCGCAUGGCGGCGCCAUGAAACUGACACAGGAUGGGGACGCGUCGGAUUAGCUUGACGGCGGGGCGACGGCCCACCGUGGCGACGAUCCGCAGGGGUUCUGAGAGGAAGGUCCCCCACACUGGCACUGAGACACGGGCCAGACUCCUACGGGAGGCAGCAGUGAGGAAUAUUGGUCAAUGGCCGAGAGGCUGAACCAGCCAAGUAGCCGUGCAGGACGACGGCCCUACGGGUUGUAAACUGCUUUUGCGGGAGGAUAAAGGACGCCACGUGUGGUGUUUUGCAGGUAUCCCGUGAAUAAGGACCGGCUAAUUCCGUGCCAGCCGCUGC